RNAcentral lists this ribosomal RNA (497 nucleotides) under uncultured bacterium. Its description in RNAcentral is "partial 16S ribosomal RNA". It matches the Rfam family "Bacterial small subunit ribosomal RNA", at positions 30 to 523 of the family's 1533-position model. The record is from RNAcentral.
AUUGAACGCUGGCGGCAUGCUUUACACAUGCAAGUCGAACGGUAACAGGCCGCAAGGUGCUGACGAGUGGCGAACGGGUGAGUAAUGCAUCGGAACGUGCCCAGUCGUGGGGGAUAACGCAGCGAAAGCUGCGCUAAUACCGCAUACGAUCUAUGGAUGAAAGCGGGGGACCGUAAGGCCUCGUGCGAUUGGAGCGGCCGAUGUCAGAUUAGGUAGUUGGUGGGGUAAAGGCUCACCAAGCCAACGAUCUGUAGCUGGUCUGAGAGGACGACCAGCCACACUGGGACUGAGACACGGCCCAGACUCCUACGGGAGGCAGCAGUGGGGAAUUUUGGACAAUGGGCGCAAGCCUGAUCCAGCAAUGCCGCGUGCAGGAAGAAGGCUUCGGGUUGUAAACUGCUUUUGUACGGAACGAAACGGUCCUGGUUAAUACCCGGGGCUAAUGACGGUACCGUAAGAAUAAGCACCGGCUAACUACGUGCCAGCAGCCGCGGUAA